GGGGGAUAUUGCACAAUGGAGGAAACUCUGAUGCAGCAACGCCGCGUGAGGGAAGAAGGUCUUCGGAUUGUAAACCUUUGUCCUUGGUGACGAAACAAAUGACGGUAGCCAAGGAGGAAGCUCCGGCUAGCUACGUGCCAGCAGCCGCGGUAAUACGUAGGGAGCGAGCGUUGUCCGGAUUUACUGGGUGUAAAGGGUGCGUAGGCGGCUCUGCAAGUCAGGUGUGAAAACUAUCGGCUCAACUGAUAGACUGCAUUUGAAACUGUGGAGCUUGAGUGAAGUAGAGGUAGGCGGAAUUCCCGGUGUAGCGGUGAAAUGCGUAGAGAUCGGGAGGAACACCAGUGGCGAAGGCGGCCUACUGGGCUUUAACUGACGCUGAAGCACGAAAGCAUGGGUAGCAAAC
Molecule: ribosomal RNA, 403 nt
Filed under: uncultured bacterium
Lineage: Bacteria
Description: bacterial SSU rRNA
Rfam family: Bacterial small subunit ribosomal RNA
Source: RNAcentral